AUGAUGUUGGUUGGUAUGCCGAUUUGUUCUAAUUUUAGAGAUUUUACUGGAAAAAAAGAUUGGGCAAGCCGUAGCGGUAUCGAAGCUGAUGGAAGUCGAGAUGAAUGGUGCAACUACAAAGGACUGUGUUAAGAUUGUAUGUAUUUCUCUCGAUUGCAGUGAUGUCUCUGCUUGAUUGUAAAGAAGGAGAAUGAGCAUAUAAUCAAAGUUUCAAGCUUUAAAAAAAGAAUAUGUAUAAGUGACAUAGAUACGUUGAGAGUGAUUAGCAAGGUAAUUGAAGGAGCCAGAAGCGACCACAUAGGAAAUUUUGAGUGUCUGCCAAGUACUAUUCAAUAGCACUACAAGAGGAAGAGAGGAGAUCGCUUCAAUGCGCUCCCCAACGAAUGAGGCUACGUAUAUAAACAAAGGUUCCAUGCUCUGACGAUUUCAAUUUGGCAUUUUAUAAAUAAAAAAAUGCUUGGCCUAUUAUGUAGGAGGCUUGCUAGGCUCUCAAUCACUUUCAUCAAACUAUUAGACAAUUUCUUAUGUCAUAUAUCAAUUUUAUUUGUUCAAUUCACUUUUGGAAAAUGAGGCAAAUCUGCAGAUCAAAAGACAAUUCACGAGUGGCUUACGGUAACUUCUUCUAGGAAUGCAAAAUGGUGGUGUUCGACAUUUCACAAUAUUACAGCUAUGGUUGGAACCGGUGUCCUCAAGCUUCCUUAUGCUAUGUCUCACCUUGGAUGUUACUCUGCAAUUGGCUGAGGGGAUUCAAUUAAGCGUGGAGCUAGAUGUGGACUAUAGCUACUCCGCUAAAAUCAAUUUGGGAGUCGUUUUCGACUUUUUCACAUUGAGAGAUGUGGCUUUUGCUUACGGUGGUUAUAAUGUGGUGUAGGAGAUUCAAGCUACAAUUCUUUCAAUGACAGUAGCCUUCCAAAGGACCCAUGUGGAGGGGGUGUCGUAGUUGUUUGCUCACAAGUUUAAGGUAGUCAGAAUGUUGCUUGACU
RNA transcript from Solanum stenotomum, 983 nucleotides. It is a transcript of the gene named lysine histidine transporter 1-like, with no coding region annotated. The record is from RefSeq and is a predicted model, not a curated record. The transcript is spliced from 3 exons. NCBI's taxonomy places the organism in Eukaryota, Viridiplantae, Streptophyta, Magnoliopsida, Solanales, Solanaceae.